GGCGGGUCUUGGUGAUGCACCCCAGAAUCGGGCUCCCUCCUCUCUGGUUUUGUGUGUGUCACCUGAGAACUGCA
This is a non-coding RNA of Myotis davidii, 74 nucleotides long. NCBI's taxonomy places the organism in Eukaryota, Metazoa, Chordata, Mammalia, Chiroptera, Vespertilionidae. The record is from Rfam.